Molecule: ribosomal RNA, 429 nt
Filed under: uncultured bacterium
Lineage: Bacteria
Description: bacterial SSU rRNA
Rfam family: Bacterial small subunit ribosomal RNA
Source: RNAcentral
UGGGGAAUUUUGGACAAUGGGGGCAACCCUGAUCCAGCAAUGCCGCGUGAGUGAAGAAGGCCUUCGGGUUGUAAAGCUCUUUUACUUGGGAGGAAAAGUUGUAUGCCAAUAACAUGCAAUCAUGACAGUACCAAGAGAAUAAGCGCCGGCUAACUAUGUGCCAGCAGCCGCGGUAAUACAUAGGGCGCAAGCGUUAAUCGGAAUUAUUGGGCGUAAAGAAUUUGUAGGCUGUUGUGUAAGUUGGUUGUGAAAUCCCUGGGCUUAACCUAGGAAUUGCGACCAGGACUACAUGGCUAGAGUAUGUAAGAGGAGAGUGGAAUUCCUGGUGUAGCAGUGAAAUGCAUAGAUAUCAGGAGGAACACCAGUGGCGAAGGCGACUCUCUGGGACAAUACUGACGCUGAGAAAUGAAAGCGUGGGGAGCAAACAGG